Molecule: ribosomal RNA, 373 nt
Filed under: uncultured bacterium
Lineage: Bacteria
Description: bacterial SSU rRNA
Rfam family: Bacterial small subunit ribosomal RNA
Source: RNAcentral
AACGAACGCUGGCGGCAGGCCUAACACAUGCAAGUCGAACGCUCCGCAAGGGGAGCGGCGCACGGGUGAGUAACACGUGGGAACCUACCUUCUGGUACGGAACAACCAAGGGAAACUUUGGCUAAGACCGUAUACGACCUCCGGGUGAAAGAUUGAUCGCCGGAAGAGGGGCCCGCGUCCGAUUAGGUAGUUGGUGAGGUAACGGCUCACCAAGCCUUCGAUCGGUAGCUGGUCUGAGAGGAUGACCAGCCACACUGGGACUGAGACACGGCCCACGACUCCUACGGGAGGCAGCAGUGGGGAAGUAUUGGACAAUGGGCGCAAGCCUGAUCCAGCCAUGCCGCGUGAGUGAUGAAGGCCUUCGGUUGUUAAG